RNAcentral lists this non-coding RNA (23 nucleotides) under Cricetulus griseus (Chinese hamster). The record is from RNAcentral. Lineage: Eukaryota; Metazoa; Chordata; Mammalia; Rodentia; Cricetidae.
AUGGAUCCUACUGACUGACAUGC